UUGAACGCUGGCGGCAGGCCUAACACAUGCAAGUCGAACGGUAACAGGAAGCAGCUUGCUGCUUCGCUGACGAGUGGCGGACGGGUGAGUAAUGUCUGGGAAACUGCCUGAUGGAGGGGGAUAACUACUGGAAACGGUAGCUAAUACCGCAUAACGUCGCAAGACCAAAGAGGGGGACCUUAGGGCCUCUUGCCAUCGGAUGUGCCCAGAUGGGAUUAGCUAGUAGGUGGGGUAACGGCUCACCUAGGCGACGAUCCCUAGCUGGUCUGAGAGGAUGACCAGCCACACUGGAACUGAGACACGGUCCAGACUCCUACGGGAGGCAGCAGUGGGGAAUAUUGCACAAUGGGCGCAAGCCUGAUGCAGCCAUGCCGCGUGUAUGAAGAAGGCCUUCGGGUUGUAAAGUACUUUCAGCGGGGAGGAAGGGAGUAAAGUUAAUACCUUUGCUCAUUGACGUUACCCGCAGAAGAAGCACCUGCUAACUCCGUG
This 489-nucleotide ribosomal RNA is filed under the name uncultured bacterium. RNAcentral describes it as "partial 16S ribosomal RNA". It matches the Rfam family "Bacterial small subunit ribosomal RNA", at positions 30 to 507 of the family's 1533-position model. The record is from RNAcentral.